RNAcentral lists this ribosomal RNA (549 nucleotides) under Rhodotorula mucilaginosa. RNAcentral's name for it is "eukaryotic LSU rRNA". It matches the Rfam family "Eukaryotic large subunit ribosomal RNA", at positions 91 to 656 of the family's 3401-position model. The record is from RNAcentral. Lineage: Eukaryota; Fungi; Basidiomycota; Microbotryomycetes; Sporidiobolales; Sporidiobolaceae.
GAGCGAAGCGGGAAGAGCUCAAAUUUAUAAUCUGGCACCUUCGGUGUCCGAGUUGUAAUCUCUAGAAAUGUUUUCCGCGUUGGACCGCACACAAGUCUGUUGGAAUACAGCGGCAUAGUGGUGAGACCCCCGUAUAUGGUGCGGACGCCCAGCGCUUUGUGAUACAUUUUCGAAGAGUCGAGUUGUUUGGGAAUGCAGCUCAAAUUGGGUGGUAAAUUCCAUCUAAAGCUAAAUAUUGGCGAGAGACCGAUAGCGAACAAGUACCGUGAGGGAAAGAUGAAAAGCACUUUGGAAAGAGAGUUAACAGUACGUGAAAUUGUUGGAAGGGAAACGCUUGAAGUCAGACUUGCUUGCCGAGCAAUCGGUUUGCAGGCCAGCAUCAGUUUUCCGGGAUGGAUAAUGGUAGAGAGAAGGUAGCAGUUUCGGCUGUGUUAUAGCUCUCUGCUGGAUACAUCUUGGGGGACUGAGGAACGCAGUGUGCCUUUGGCGGGGGUUUCGACCUCUUCACACUUAGGAUGCUGGUGGAAUGGCUUUAAACGACCCGUCUUG